CUUUCCUUUUACGAAAAAGGGUUAAAAAAACAAAAAAAAACUUGUCGGUCUGUCUUUUCCAUUUUCACAUACGAUUUAUUAUUCAAUUCAAGCGAUAUUGCUCAAUUUAAACUCUUUGUUGGAUAAUCUGUGGAUUAAUUCGGGUUAACAGGUUUUAAAACCAUCGAAGAAUGGUCAGAUUCGAGUAGAAGAUACUAAGAGAAGAUAAGAGUUGUAUCUGAACUAAUGGUUUCAGAAACGGUGUACUUUGUGGCUUUGUUAGUAUAAACGCGAGCACAAUGGUAAGAAAGGGACUUUGACCUGGAUUCUCCAGCCGGUCUUGUAAGGAGGAAUGUCUCUUAAGAAAGCGAAAGAUGCUGCCAUUUUGAUUGUAUAGGUUUGAGCUUUGUGUGAUUGUGGAUGUGUUUGGCUGUCGAUGUUUGUUGGUGAGACACUGUUUAUAUAGCUCGCCAUUGGGAUCUUAGUUGUUUUGGAAGAAAAUUAGGAAUGGAAUGGAAGGAAGUUAAAGAAAGUUGUUCCAAUUUCUAUAUUUUUGGGUGAAAAGAAAGUUGUUCCAAUUUCUAUAUUUUCGGGAUUGUAUAUGAUUGAUUAAUCUCGGAUGAUUAGAAUUCGAAUUUAGUAAGAUAAUUAACUGGAAAACUGAUAUGCGAUUAUAAUAGGACAUACAUUUGAUUAUAAUUAAAAUUAUUAAAAAUAUUAAUAAUAUUGACA
Long non-coding RNA from Camelina sativa (false flax), 711 nucleotides. RefSeq lists it as uncharacterized. The record is from RefSeq and is a predicted model, not a curated record. NCBI's taxonomy places the organism in Eukaryota, Viridiplantae, Streptophyta, Magnoliopsida, Brassicales, Brassicaceae.